GUCUUUAAGAUUUUAAUUUAAAGUCUAAUCUGCCCAAUGAAUUUUUUUUAAUGGCUGCAGAAUUCUAACUGUACUAAGGUAGCAUAAUAAUUUGUUUUUUAAUUAAAAACUAGAAUGAAAGAUUUAAUGAAAUAUAAACUGUUUCAAUUAAUUUUUUUUAAUUUUUUAUUUAAGUAAAAAAACUUAAAUAAAUUUUAAAGACGACAAGACCCUAUAGAAUUUUAUUUAUUAAAUUUAAUUUUUUAAUUUAAUAAAUUUUAUUGGGGUAAUAAAAAAAAUAAUUUAAUUUUUUUUUAAAAAAACAUUUUUUAAUGAAUUCUUUAUCUUAAUUUUUAAAUUAAAAAAAUUAAUUACCUUAGGGAUAACAGCAUAAUUUUUUUUAAAAGAUCAUAUUUAUAAAAAAGAUUAU
RNAcentral lists this ribosomal RNA (409 nucleotides) under Digonogastra sp. RNAcentral describes it as "partial 16S ribosomal RNA". Lineage: Eukaryota; Metazoa; Arthropoda; Insecta; Hymenoptera; Braconidae. The record is from RNAcentral.